UUUCUAGCAUUUUUUUCCUUGGGUUUGUUCUCUCUUGGACAAUACUUCGCAUCAUCUACUUUCCUUUCUGGGUACUGUGGAGUACAAGCUAUGAAGUCCUUUUGACCUUGGGAGAAGCACAUGGUGGAUGGACCUCUAUAUUAUUAUCUCUUUAACACACUUCUAUUCUCCUUGGUCGUAUUCAAUGUAUAUUGGUGGUCUUUGAUGGUUGGCAUGGUUGUGGAACAAAUCAAGGCAAGAGGCCGAGUCAGCAAAGAUGUUCGAUCAGAUUCUGAAGGUGAAGAGGAGCAUGAUGAUUGACCAUCAAAUAGACAAGUACCUAAUAACAGCUCAUGCCAAUGUAAUAUCAAAACAGAGAAUUACAGCUUCGCCACUUUGAUACAAGUAUUUUGCUCAAAUCUUCCAUGUUUUCUCUGUUAUCAUUGAUGUAUGUUGUCUUGUUCUCAUGCAGAUAGACCCUCACGAAAACAUGUUCAACUAUCUUCAUGCUUUUAUUUCCAUGUGUGAGCUGGUAUAUUGUAAGUUACUAUUGAUGAUAACAAACUAUGUUGAUUAAAGGGUGUUUGUGCAUGAUAG
This 576-nucleotide unclassified non-coding RNA is filed under the name Hevea brasiliensis (rubber tree). Lineage: Eukaryota; Viridiplantae; Streptophyta; Magnoliopsida; Malpighiales; Euphorbiaceae. The record is from RNAcentral.